Molecule: ribosomal RNA, 406 nt
Filed under: uncultured soil bacterium
Lineage: Bacteria
Description: bacterial SSU rRNA
Rfam family: Bacterial small subunit ribosomal RNA
Source: RNAcentral
AGAUUGAACGCUGGCGGCAUGCCUUACACAUGCAAGUCGAACGGCAGCACGGGAGCAAUCCUGGUGGCGAGUGGCGAACGGGUGAGUAAUACAUCGGAACGUGCCCAAUCGUGGGGGAUAACGCAGCGAAAGCUGUGCUAAUACCGCAUAAGAUCUACGGAUGAAAGCAGGGGAUCGCAAGACCUUGCGCGAAUGGAGCGGCCGAUGGCAGAUUAGGUAGUUGGUGAGGUAAAGGCUCACCAAGCCUUCGAUCUGUAGCUGGUCUGAGAGGACGACCAGCCACACUGGGACUGAGACACGGCCAGACUCCUACGGGAGGCAGCAGUGGGAAUUUGGACAAUGGGCGAAAGCCUAAAGAUCCAGCCAUGCCGCGUGCAGGAUGAAGGCCUUCGGUUAGUAACGUGUC